This 396-nucleotide ribosomal RNA is filed under the name uncultured bacterium. RNAcentral describes it as "bacterial SSU rRNA". It matches the Rfam family "Bacterial small subunit ribosomal RNA", at positions 29 to 422 of the family's 1533-position model. The record is from RNAcentral.
AUUGAACGCUGGCGGCGUGCCUAACACAUGCAAGUCGAGCGGUGACAGGCGUAGCAAUACGUGCUGACGAGCGGCGGACGGGUGAGUAAUGCUUGGGAAUCUUCCCGGUAGUGGGGAACAACCAACCGAAAGGUUGGCUAAUACCGCAUACGUUCUACGGAAGAAAGCGGGGGACCGUAAGGCCUCGCGCUAUCGGAUGAGCCCAAGUCGGAUUAGCUAGUUGGCGGGGUAAUGGCCCACCAAGGCGACAAUCCGUAGCUGGUCUGAGAGGACGACCAGCCACACUGGGACUGAGACACGGCCCAGACUCCUACGGGAGGCAGCAGGUGGGGAAUAUUGGACAAGUGGGGGAAACCCUGAUCCAGCGACGCCGCGUGUGUGAAGAAGGCCUGCGGG